GAAAUUUUGCGGAGAUGAACUAACCAGGAUUCCCUCAGUAGCUGCGAGCGAACAGGGAAGAGCCCAGCACCGAAUCCCGCGGCCGAUAUCGGGCGCCGGGAAAUGUGGUGUUAGGGAGGAUCCGUUUAUCCCGAGGUCGUGCGGCGCGUCCAAGUCCUUCUUGAACGGGGCCACAGCCCAUAGAGGGUGCCAGGCCCGUAGCGACCGUCGCACAUCGCGGGAGGAUCUCUCCUCAGAGUCGGGUUGCUUGAGAGUGCAGCCCUAAGUGGGUGGUAAACUCCAUCUAAGGCUAAAUAUGACCACGAGACCGAUAGCGAACAAGUACCGUGAGGGAAAGUUGAAAAGCACUUUGAAGAGAGAGUUCAAGAGUACGUGAAACCGUUCAGGGGUAAACCUGAGAAACCCGAAAGGUCGAAGGGGGAAAUUCAUUCGCGUCUCGACCGUCGGAGCGGAGCGUUCGAGUGACGGACGGCGCACGCGCCGUCUGCGCCGUACGUUUCGCGUUCCGACGUCGAACGCGUGCACUUUUCCCCCGGUAGGACGUCACGAUCCGUUGGGUGUCGGUCUAAGGCCCGCGGUGGAGACCGGGCGCGCGUCUCGGCGCAGCGCCCGGACCCGCGGUGUCCCGGCCGACCCGCUCGACGGUAUACAGAUGGCGCGGGGCCGCUACACUUCAGUUAGCGUUCGGCCCGCGGCAAGCGCGUCAGCCGGCGGCGGCGAUCGGACCUGGCGCCGGUCCUGCCCCCUGACGACUGUUGGCCGCGGUGCUCUCGAACAGACCCCGUCACGAAACGCCGAUCUGUGACGCUAUAGCUUUGGGUACUUUCAGGACCCGUCUUGAACCGCCC
Molecule: ribosomal RNA, 848 nt
Filed under: Thyestilla gebleri
Lineage: Eukaryota; Metazoa; Arthropoda; Insecta; Coleoptera; Cerambycidae
Description: eukaryotic LSU rRNA
Rfam family: Eukaryotic large subunit ribosomal RNA
Source: RNAcentral